GGGUCGUGUCUGCUGCAAGCAAG
RNAcentral lists this non-coding RNA (23 nucleotides) under Arabidopsis thaliana (thale cress). The record is from RNAcentral. Lineage: Eukaryota; Viridiplantae; Streptophyta; Magnoliopsida; Brassicales; Brassicaceae.